GAGUUUGAUCCUGGCUCAGGACGAACGCUGGCGGCGUGCCUAAUACAUGCAAGUCGAGCGGGGGCAGUUAGAAGCUUGCUUCUAAUUAACCUAGCGGCGGACGGGUGAGUAACACGUAGGCAACCUGCCC
RNAcentral lists this ribosomal RNA (130 nucleotides) under Paenibacillus polymyxa. RNAcentral's name for it is "partial 16S ribosomal RNA". It matches the Rfam family "Bacterial small subunit ribosomal RNA", at positions 9 to 131 of the family's 1533-position model. Lineage: Bacteria; Bacillati; Bacillota; Bacilli; Caryophanales; Paenibacillaceae. The record is from RNAcentral.